RNAcentral lists this ribosomal RNA (253 nucleotides) under uncultured bacterium. RNAcentral's name for it is "partial 16S ribosomal RNA". It matches the Rfam family "Bacterial small subunit ribosomal RNA", at positions 524 to 776 of the family's 1533-position model. The record is from RNAcentral.
UACAGAGGGUGCGAGCGUUAAUCGGAAUUACUGGGCGUAAAGUGUGCGUAGACGGUUAUUUAAGUCAGAUGUGAAAGCCCCGGGCUCAACCUGGGAAUUGCAUUUGAGACUGAAUAGCUAGGGUGCGGUAGAGGGAAGCGGAAUUUCCGGUGUAGCGGUGAAAUGCGUAGAUAUCGGAAGGAACAUCAGUGGCGAAAGCGGCUUCCUGGACCAGCACCGACGUUCAGGCACGAAAGCGUGGGGAGCAAACAGG